GACGAACGCUGGCGGCGUGCUUAACACAUGCAAGUCGAACGGAAAGGCCCCCUUGUGGGGUACUCGAGUGGCGAACGGGUGAGUAACACGUGAGUAACCUACCCUUGACUUUGGGAUAACUUCAGGAAACUGGGGCUAAUACCGGAUAGGAGCUCCUGCUGCAUGGUGGGGGUUGGAAGGUUUCGGCGGUUGGGGAUGGACUCGCGGCUUAUCAGCUGGUUGGUGGGGUAGUGGCUCACCAAGGCUUUGACGGGUAGCCGGCCUGAGAGGGUGACCGGCCACAUUGGGACUGAGAUACGGCCCAGACUCCUACGGGAGGCAGCAGUGGGGAAUAUUGCACAAUGGGCGGAAGCCUGAUGCAGCAACGCCGCGUGCGGGAUGACGGCCUUCGGGUUGUAAACCGCUUUCGCCUGUGACGAAGCGUGAGUGACGGUAAUGGGUAAAGAAGCACCGGCUAACUACGUG
RNAcentral lists this ribosomal RNA (465 nucleotides) under uncultured bacterium. RNAcentral's name for it is "partial 16S ribosomal RNA". It matches the Rfam family "Bacterial small subunit ribosomal RNA", at positions 28 to 507 of the family's 1533-position model. The record is from RNAcentral.